Molecule: ribosomal RNA, 258 nt
Filed under: uncultured bacterium
Lineage: Bacteria
Description: partial small subunit ribosomal RNA
Rfam family: Bacterial small subunit ribosomal RNA
Source: RNAcentral
AGGACGAACGCUGGCGGCGUGCUUAACACAUGCAAGUCGAACGGAAAGGCCCGCUUGCGGGUACUCGAGUGGCGAACGGGUGAGUAACACGUGGGCAACCUGCCCUCAGCUUCGGGAUAACACUUGGAAACAGGUGCUAAUACCGGAUAAUAACUUUUUCAUCGCAUGGUGGAUGGUUCAAAGUUUUUCGGCUGAGGAUGGGCCCGCGGCCUAUCAGCUUGUUGGUGGGGUAAUGGCCUACCAAGGCGACGACGGGUA